This 257-nucleotide ribosomal RNA is filed under the name uncultured prokaryote. Its description in RNAcentral is "partial 16S ribosomal RNA". It matches the Rfam family "Bacterial small subunit ribosomal RNA", at positions 524 to 780 of the family's 1533-position model. The record is from RNAcentral.
UACGGAGGAUGCAAGCGUUAUCCGGAUUUAUUGGGUUUAAAGGGUGCGCAGGUUGUUUGAUAAGUCAGUGGUGAAAGUCUGUCGCUUAACGGUAGGAUUGCCAUUGAUACUGUUGGACUUGAAUAUGGAUGAGGUAGGCGGAAUGUGUAGUGUAGCGGUGAAAUGCAUAGAUAUCACGAGGAACUCCGAUUGCGCAGGCAGCUUACUAAACCAUAACUGACGCUCAGGCACGAAGGCGUGGGGAUCAAACAGGAUUA